Long non-coding RNA from Sinocyclocheilus grahami, 415 nucleotides. RefSeq lists it as uncharacterized. NCBI's taxonomy places the organism in Eukaryota, Metazoa, Chordata, Actinopteri, Cypriniformes, Cyprinidae. The record is from RefSeq and is a predicted model, not a curated record. The transcript is spliced from 3 exons.
UGAUAUGAUUUGUCUCUCUGAGUCUGAACCUGGAAGCGCCCUCGAAAGGAAAACACUUGUUUAACACACAGGAAGUAGGUUUAGCUCCACCCCCUGCAUCCGCCAUCUCCUGUUACUACAUGGGAAGGCGGGCGAAUUUGAAAAAAGAGCAUAUUCGUUUGCAUCCGAAAACAGAGAAAUUUGUUUAAUACAAUUCCAUAUAACCGACCAUAUAACAGAUUGGACAGUCUUACUGACUAGCAGCAGUUUGCAGUUUCUGGAUCUGUAUUGUCUUGCAAGAUGAGCAACAAAACCACACGAUUACCGUCGCGGAAAAGCAGCGAUGAAAUCAGAAAGUCAAGUGGAAAGAGUCCACCACGAAGGAGGUCCUGCAGGUUGUCUGCAAGUGAUGUAAAUCUGGCCUCUAAAGUUGUGG